CUUAUAUAUUAGGACAGAGGG
Molecule: microRNA, 21 nt
Filed under: Corchorus olitorius
Lineage: Eukaryota; Viridiplantae; Streptophyta; Magnoliopsida; Malvales; Malvaceae
Description: sbi-miR6224a-
Source: RNAcentral